Peromyscus eremicus (cactus mouse) is the source of this 320-nucleotide long non-coding RNA. RefSeq lists it as uncharacterized. NCBI's taxonomy places the organism in Eukaryota, Metazoa, Chordata, Mammalia, Rodentia, Cricetidae. The record is from RefSeq and is a predicted model, not a curated record. The transcript is spliced from 2 exons.
CAAUGGCCAGUCUACAGACAGGCUCUGUCCCUCCCUCAAAGAGUUCAACCUCACUCACAGCUGUAGUUUGGAGAUAAAGUCAUGUUAUCGGCAGAUGUAUAGGGUGAGUGGAUUCCUACACCAUGCACUCUGACUGGGAUGUCUGCCUCAUAAGAGAUCCUAGUGGCCAUGGGCAGAGUCCUGCAAACUGUGAGCCCAAACAACCCUUUCCACGGAUGAAGCAGGUUGUUUCAGGUGUUUGUAACAACCUGAAAUAACCUAGUGUAACAACCGCUCUCACCUAAGCAUGAUGCCCAUUAAUUGUCUUUAUUUUAAAUUUU